UGGGAACAAGGAUGGCCAGUACUCUCAUGACACCCAGACAACCACUGGAGCUUACGGUGGGGCCGGCUACACAGGAGGAGAGCACCACGAGAAGAAGGGUAUAAUAGGCCAAGUUAAGGACAAGCUGCCAGGUGGGCAAAAGGAUGACCAGUACUGUCGUGACACCCACCCAACCACUGGAGCUUACGGUGGCGCCGGCUACACAGGAGGAGAGGACCACGAGAAGAAGGGUAUAAUAGGCCAAGUCAAAGACAAGCUGCCAGGUGGGCAAAAGGAUGACCAGUACUGUCGUGACACCCACCCAACCACUGGAGCUUACGGUGGGGCCGGCUACACAGGAGGAGAGCACCAGGAGAAGAAGGGUAUAAUAGGCCAAGUUAAGGACAAGCUGCCAGGUGGGCAAAAGGAUGAUCAGUACUCUCAUGACACCCACAAAACUACUGGAGCUUACGGUGGGGCCGGAUACACAGGAGAUGAUACCCGGGAGAAGAAGGGUAUAAUAGGCCAAGUGAAGGACAAGCUGCCAGGUGGGCAAAAGGAUGACCAUUACUCUCAUGACACCCACCCAACAACUGGAGCUUACGGUGGGGCCGGGUACACAGGAGAUGAUACCCGGGAGAAGAAGGGUAUAAUAGACCAAGUAAAGGACAAGCUGCCGGGUGGGCAAAAGGAUGACCAUUACUCUCAUGAGACCCACCCAACCACUGGAGCUUACGGUGGGGCAGGGUACACAGGAGAUGAUACACGGGAGAAGAAGGGUGUAGUGGAGAAAGUGAAGGAGAAGCUGCCAGGUGGGCAAAAUGUGCACCCAACCACUGGAC
RNAcentral lists this long non-coding RNA (821 nucleotides) under Prunus persica (peach). RNAcentral's name for it is "long non-coding RNA (PPER_LNC007441)". The record is from RNAcentral. Lineage: Eukaryota; Viridiplantae; Streptophyta; Magnoliopsida; Rosales; Rosaceae.